This 492-nucleotide ribosomal RNA is filed under the name uncultured bacterium. Its description in RNAcentral is "partial 16S ribosomal RNA". It matches the Rfam family "Bacterial small subunit ribosomal RNA", at positions 28 to 507 of the family's 1533-position model. The record is from RNAcentral.
GAUGAACGCUAGCUACAGGCUUAACACAUGCAAGUCGAGGGGAAACGGCAUCGAAAGCUUGCUUUUGAUGGGCGUCGACCGGCGCACGGGUGAGUAACGCGUAUCCAACCUGCCCAUCACUUGGGAAUAACCUUGCGAAAGUAAGACUAAUGCCCAAUGACAUCCCACGAAGGCAUCCGAAUGGGAUUAAAGAUUUAUCUGUGAUGGAUGGGGAUGCGUCUGAUUAGCUUGUUGGCGGGGUGACGGCCCACCAAGGCAACGAUCAGUAGGGGUUCUGAGAGGAAGGUCCCCCAGAUUGGAACUGAGACACGGUCCAAACUCCUACGGGAGGCAGCAGUGAGGAAUAUUGGUCAAUGGGCGAGAGCCUGAACCAGCCAAGUAGCGUGCAGGAUGACGGCCCUAUGGGUUGUAAACUGCUUUUAUAAGGGAAUAAAGUGGGUCACGUGUGACUUUUUGCAUGUGCCUUAUGAAUAAGGACCGGCUAAUUCCGUG